RNAcentral lists this ribosomal RNA (374 nucleotides) under uncultured bacterium. Its description in RNAcentral is "bacterial SSU rRNA". It matches the Rfam family "Bacterial small subunit ribosomal RNA", at positions 523 to 898 of the family's 1533-position model. The record is from RNAcentral.
AUACGUAGGGUCCAAGCGUUAUCCGGAAUUACUGGGUAUAAAGGGUGCGUAGGCGGAUCUGUGCGUCAGGGGUUAAAUAUCCGGGCUUAACCCGGAAAAUGCCCUUGAAACGGCAGGUCUUGAGUGUGAGAGAGGAUGGUAGAAUUCCUGGUGUAGCGGUGAAAUGCGUAGAUAUCAGGAGGAAUACCGGUGGCGAAGGCGGCCAUCUGGCUCAUUACUGACGCUCAGGCACGAAAGCGUGGGGAUCAAACAGGAUUAGAUACCCUGGUAGUCCACGCCCUAAACGAUGUAUGCUUGGUGUUAGGUACUUGUUACCUAGUGCCGGAGGAAAUCCGUUAAGCAUACCACCUGGGGAGUACGAUCGCAAGGUUGAA